AACGAACGCUGGCGGCAUGCCUAACACAUGCAAGUCGAACGAAGCCUUCGGGCUUAGUGGCGCACGGGUGCGUAACGCGUGGGAAUCUGCCCUUGGGUUCGGAAAUAACAGUUAGAAAUGACUGCUAAUACCGGAUGAUGUCUUCGGACCAAAGAUUUAUCGCCCAAGGGUGAGCCCGCGUAGGAUUAGGUAGUUGGUGGGGUAAUGGCCCACCAAGCCGACGAUCCUUAGCUGGUCUGAGAGGAUGAUCAGCCACACUGGGACUGAGACACGGCCCAGACUCCUACGGGAGGCAGCAGUGGGGAAUAUUGGACAAUGGGCGAAAGCCUGAUCCAGCAAUGCCGCGUGAGUGAUGAAGGCCUUAGGGUUGUAAAGCUCUUUUACCAGGGAUGAUAAUGACAGUACCUGGAGAAUAAGCUCCGGCUAACUCCGUGCCAGCAGCCGCCGUAA
This 450-nucleotide ribosomal RNA is filed under the name uncultured bacterium. Its description in RNAcentral is "partial 16S ribosomal RNA". It matches the Rfam family "Bacterial small subunit ribosomal RNA", at positions 29 to 523 of the family's 1533-position model. The record is from RNAcentral.